This 433-nucleotide ribosomal RNA is filed under the name uncultured bacterium. Its description in RNAcentral is "partial 16S ribosomal RNA". It matches the Rfam family "Bacterial small subunit ribosomal RNA", at positions 29 to 507 of the family's 1533-position model. The record is from RNAcentral.
AACGAACGCUGGCGGCAGGCCUAACACAUGCAAGUCGAGCGGACCCUUCGGGGUUAGCGGCGGACGGGUGAGUAACGCGUGGGAAUAUGCCCUUCUCUACGGAAUAGUCCUGGGAAACUGGGGGUAAUACCGUAUACGCCCUUUGGGGGAAAGAUUUAUCGGGGAAGGAUUAGCCCGCGUUGGAUUAGGUAGUUGGUGGGGUAAUGGCCUACCAAGCCGACGAUCCAUAGCUGGUUUGAGAGGAUGAUCAGCCACACUGGGACUGAGACACGGCCCAGACUCCUACGGGAGGCAGCAGUGGGGAAUCUUAGACAAUGGGGGCAACCCUGAUCUAGCCAUGCCGCGUGAGUGAUGAAGGCCUUAGGGUUGUAAAGCUCUUUCAGCUGGGAAGAUAAUGACGGUACCAGCAGAAGAAGCCCCGGCUAACCCCGUG